GAUGAACGCUGGCGGCGUGCCUAAUACAUGCAAGUCGAGCGAACGGACGAGAAGCUUGCUUCUCUGAUGUUAGCGGCGGACGGGUGAGUAACACGUGGAUAACCUACCUAUAAGACUGGGAUAACUUCGGGAAACCGGAGCUAAUACCGGAUAAUAUUUUGAACCGCAUGGUUCAAAAGUAAAAGACGGUCUUGCUGUCACUUAUAGAUGGAUCCGCGCUGCAUUAGCUAGUUGGUAAGGUAACGGCUUACCAAGGCAACGAUGCAUAGCCGACCUGAGAGGGUGAUCGGCCACACUGGAACUGAGACACGGUCCAGGCUCCUACGGGAGGCAGCAGUAGGGAAUCUUCCGCAAUGGGCGAAAGCCUGACGGAGCAACGCCGCGUGAGUGAUGAAGGUCUUCGGAUCGUAAAACUCUGUUAUUAGGGAAGAACAUAUGUGUAAGUAACUGUGCACAUCUUGACGGUACCUAAUCAGAAAGCCACGGCUAACUACGUG
RNAcentral lists this ribosomal RNA (497 nucleotides) under uncultured bacterium. RNAcentral describes it as "partial 16S ribosomal RNA". It matches the Rfam family "Bacterial small subunit ribosomal RNA", at positions 28 to 507 of the family's 1533-position model. The record is from RNAcentral.